This 201-nucleotide long non-coding RNA is filed under the name Elaeis guineensis (African oil palm). Its description in RNAcentral is "long non-coding RNA (EGUI_LNC081383)". The record is from RNAcentral. Lineage: Eukaryota; Viridiplantae; Streptophyta; Magnoliopsida; Arecales; Arecaceae.
GGCAUUGAAAAUGGCACAACUAGUCUUAUGCCGCUCAACAUCAUCAGGAGUACCAAAGGAAUCUCACAACACUUGAAGUAUUUCCUCUGACUGAGCUUCUUCAAACUUCUGGCUAAACUUAUCGUUCAUGGAGGCCCACAUGAUGCAAUGAACCAUGGUGCGAUCAUUGAGCCACUUCAAAUAAGUAUCUCGGACCACUCC